CUUAAAAGAGGUACCCAAAAAUAUUUCAACCUUUUAUAUAUGUAAACUGGCCCACUAGUGGCUGCAAUCUCAAUAGUCAUAACAAUACAAAGCUAGAAGUUUGAGAGGAUUAAAACAUAGUAAAAGACUUGUAGAUUUUCUAGUGUUGGUGAAUAUCAAUUUCACUUAGUUGAUUAAAUCCUUCAAAGUGAAGGAACUAGACGUAACUAUCAUGUUGCUAAUAAACCAGAAUAAAUUUGUUUUGUGAUUUCUAUUCCUUAUCUCUUUAUUUUUUAUUAAAGGUAUUUUAAGUUUCUCUCUAGAACUUGUUUUAUGAAAAAAAGGUUUUUAAAUGAAAACAUAAUUCAUGCCCACUUUUUCUUGUUUUUUUUUUUCACCUUGAAUAGUCAAUAAUAUCCACUUGAGUUUGACUUAUUCGUAGUUAUCUAAUUUGAAAACAUAAAGCGACUAGUUAGAGGAAAAUUGUUGUCUUAAUGUAUUACCAUCAUAACAUCAAAAAAUAGCUAUUGUAUUUGAAUCAAUCUACUCCUCAAAAAAGUUACACAUCCCUUUAUGACGGAUGCAGUAUUCAAAAAUCAUGUGCACUAACAUAUAUGCAUUGCAUUAGGAUUAUGGAAUUCAUUAUCAAUGAAUGUUUUGGGCGAAUGAUUUAUAUAUCAUACGAUGUGGGAGUACAUGAUCCAAGAGAUUGGUGGGACAACAGAGAAGUUAUGGUCUUUCUAGAUAGGGAUUUGACGUCUUCCUAGAUUUUUUACCCAACUACAGCAAGAACGUGUACACAACAAGUUGAUGGCUUUGAUGAAAAAGAAUGAAGAACUAUUUUAUGUGACUUGUACACAUGGAGAAGAUGGGGUGUUUAUAUUGUUUCGAUACAGUCGAGUACUUAAUCCACUAUAAAAAAAACUGGUUAGAAACUCUUAACCGCCCCUUUAAUUGUGUCAUAUCGUUUUUCAAAACCUCAUCAAGCUCCUUGUAUUAUAAUGCCUCAACGGGCAACUAGAAGUAAAAUCUCUAAAUUCCUCAAGAAUACUGGAGGACCUUACCUUUUAAAUUGAGUUUAAACUGUACCUCUUCUGGUUCAUGUAUUGUUCUAACCAUCUCUUUACACUACCACUAGAGAACUCUUUAGUCAUCUCAACAAUCUUGGUAAAACACCUAUUUUGUGUUCUUGAGGAAUCAAGUAUUCUCAAAGCAUUUUUAGGAUGAGUGUAAUUUUGAGUCUCUUGGAGCCAAUAAACUCUCAAAAAUAUUGGCUUAAUUAGUACUGUUACACAACAUCCUUCUAACUUCAAGUUAAUACAUAUAAAAAACCAAUUGGCUACCCCAUUAAAAAUAGCAUACUCAAAAUAAUUUAGCAUUCAAAGGAAUGCCAUACUUGUUGAGGCAAAGUCCCAAAUUAAUAUUUUGAUGUAAACAAAUAAAGGUUAAUUAAAGACUCUAA
This is a long non-coding RNA of Cicer arietinum (chickpea), 1441 nucleotides long. RefSeq lists it as uncharacterized. NCBI's taxonomy places the organism in Eukaryota, Viridiplantae, Streptophyta, Magnoliopsida, Fabales, Fabaceae. The record is from RefSeq and is a predicted model, not a curated record.